This 465-nucleotide ribosomal RNA is filed under the name uncultured bacterium. RNAcentral describes it as "partial 16S ribosomal RNA". It matches the Rfam family "Bacterial small subunit ribosomal RNA", at positions 338 to 795 of the family's 1533-position model. The record is from RNAcentral.
CCUACGGGAGGCAGCAGUAGGGAAUCUUCCACAAUGGGCGAAAGCCUGAUGGAGCAACGCCGCGUGGGUGAAGAAGGUCUUCUGAUCGUAAAACCCUGUUGUUAGAGAAGAAAGUGCGUGCGAGUAACUGUUCACGUUUCGACGGUAUCUAACCAGAAAGCCCCGGCUAACUACGUGCCAGCAGCCGCGGUAAUACGUAGGUGGCAAGCGUUAUCCGGAUUUAUUGGGCGUAAAGGGAACGCAGGCGGUCUUUUAAGUCUGAUGUGAAAGCCUUCGGCUUAACCGGAGUAGUGCAUUGGAGACUGGGAGACUUGAGUGCAGAAGAGGAGAGUGGAACUCCAUGUGUAGCGGUGAAAUGCGUAGAUAUAUGGAAGAACACCAGUGGCGAAAGCGGCUCUCUGGGCUGUAACUGACGCUGAGGUUCGAAAGCGUGGGUAGCAAACAGGAUUAGAUACCCCUGUAGUC